UAUAAUUCAAGAUUAACUAAAUUUGAUUUUAGAGAAUAAUAUGUUAAAGAAGAUAUUUUUUCUAAUAAUUUUUAAUAUUUAAAUUUAAAAUCUAUAAUAAAUUAUAUUUUAUAUGACAUUUAUUAAAUUUUUUUAAAGUAUAACCAAUGUUUAAGGUAAAUAUUAAUAAUUAAAACAUGACUUUUGUAUUCAAACCUUGUUGGAAGUAUUGGUUUUGUAAUUAGUUGUAAUACCCCGAAAAUUACUACAGUAAGAAAGUAGGUAUCCUUGAUAAUAAAAUAAGGAAAUAAAGU
This 293-nucleotide long non-coding RNA is filed under the name Gossypium barbadense (sea-island cotton). Its description in RNAcentral is "long non-coding RNA (GBAR_LNC022707)". Lineage: Eukaryota; Viridiplantae; Streptophyta; Magnoliopsida; Malvales; Malvaceae. The record is from RNAcentral.